UACGUAGGGGGCGAGCGUUGUCCGGAAUUAUUGGGCGUAAAGAGCUCGUAGGCGGUUUGUCGCGUCUGCUGUGAAAACCUAAGGCUCAACCUUGGGCUUGCAGUGGGUACGGGCAGACUAGAGUGCGGUAGGGGUGACUGGAAUUCCUGGUGUAGCGGUGGAAUGCGCAGAUAUCAGGAGGAACACCGAUGGCGAAGGCAGGUCACUGGG
This 210-nucleotide ribosomal RNA is filed under the name uncultured bacterium. RNAcentral describes it as "partial 16S ribosomal RNA". It matches the Rfam family "Bacterial small subunit ribosomal RNA", at positions 524 to 733 of the family's 1533-position model. The record is from RNAcentral.